GGGGGGCGGGGCCUCGCGGCCCUGCAGCCUCGUCAGGCUCAGUCCCCUCCCGAUAAACCCCUAAAUAGGGACCUUCCCAGGGGGCGACCCAGGCUUUUUUGGCAAAAACCCUCAACUUAAGGAGGCCUUGCCCCUGGCUUAUCGUAGUGGAGUGGAAAGGAACCUGAAAGCGGAGAAUUGGGGAGCUUGUGAAGCGGUACGGGGGAAAAAACCUGCUAACCGGGAUUUGAUACCGUUCAGCUCCUUUGGCCUUUGACGGAAAGCGAUUUAAAAGGGAUUUCAAUGAAAAACUCGAUCGUUUUGGCUUUUGUUUUCUCUUACCCGCUCUUGUCACGUGAUGAUUCUACCUUUUUUUUUUUUUUAAUGAAAUGAUGCAUAUUUGCCACAGUAUCCUUGAUCUAGUGCAGCCUAGUGGCGAGCGGAGAAAAAAAUAACUUCCGACUGGGCUGCCAGCGAAGUCAUUCGGGCCAGCAGGGCUCCUCGCGAAGCUGCGAUCCAUCUGGCGAAGAUAAUAAAGCGUGUGCCAAGACUAAGUUGGAUUUUGUCACCAAUUAAGAGGUCCUCGUGACUUCAAAAUCAGAUGACAAGUCCACACAUCAUCUGCCUGCUUAGGUAUUUAUUACUGCUGAGUAAAUCUUCAUUGUGUCUCUGUGUGGGUAGUAUUCGCCAAAUGGGAAUUAGAACAGAUGAAAAACAACCCUGUUUCUAGUGUUUUGUUUUUUUCAGAUUACCAAAAAUAUAUAUACUUUUCUUU
This is a non-coding RNA of Sus scrofa (pig), 754 nucleotides long. NCBI's taxonomy places the organism in Eukaryota, Metazoa, Chordata, Mammalia, Artiodactyla, Suidae. The record is from RefSeq and is a predicted model, not a curated record.